AGCGAACGUUUGCGGCGGGCUUAACACAUGCAAGUCGAACGAGAAUCCCUUCGGGGAGGAAAGUGGCGCACGGGUGCGUAACACGUGGAUAACCAACCCAUUGGUUUGGGACAACACCGGGAAACUGGUGCUAAUACCAGAUGUGUCGCAGCUGUCUUCAGGCGGUUGCGAGAAAGGCCCGCAAGGGUCGCCAACGGACGGGUCCGCGUCCCAUCAGCUAGUUGGUGAGGUAAUGGCUCACCAAGGCAAAGACGGGUAGCUGGUCUGAGAGGAUGAUCAGCCACACUGGGACUGAGACACGGCCCAGACCU
This 311-nucleotide ribosomal RNA is filed under the name uncultured bacterium. RNAcentral describes it as "bacterial SSU rRNA". It matches the Rfam family "Bacterial small subunit ribosomal RNA", at positions 29 to 338 of the family's 1533-position model. The record is from RNAcentral.